Molecule: ribosomal RNA, 393 nt
Filed under: Triticum aestivum (bread wheat)
Lineage: Eukaryota; Viridiplantae; Streptophyta; Magnoliopsida; Poales; Poaceae
Description: partial small subunit ribosomal RNA
Source: RNAcentral
AUGUCUGUAGGUUAUGGGAUUGGAUCUCCCUUUUCUAAGACUCUACAGAAUGAUGUUGUGCACAUCCAAAUCCAAGCAAUGACCCUUCCAUGGUGCUCAGCCACAGUCCGAUUUCGAGGGAGAAUAGGAGACCCCGACGAAAACGAGCGUCCUAGCGGCGAACCCAAGGAUGCUAGUGAUUAUGGCAGGUCCAUGCUCCAGUUCUUCUAUUGGGCUACUCCCCCAAUGGUGAAAAUCCCCUACAGAAUGGUGCUGGAUGUCCUUUUAGAAUCUUUGGGCCUGCCAGUGGCUGAUUAUCGAACCAAAGCAUGCGAGGGUGGUUUGAAGUUACGAAGAACCCCAUUUUCAUUCAGAUAUGCACGCCUUUUUGUCAUGCAAAGUCUUUGCAUUUAG